RNAcentral lists this ribosomal RNA (505 nucleotides) under uncultured bacterium. RNAcentral describes it as "partial 16S ribosomal RNA". It matches the Rfam family "Bacterial small subunit ribosomal RNA", at positions 28 to 507 of the family's 1533-position model. The record is from RNAcentral.
GACGAACGCUGGCGGCGUGCCUAAUACAUGCAAGUAGAACGCACAGUUUAUACCGUAGCUUGCUACACCAUAGACUGUGAGUUGCGAACGGGUGAGUAACGCGUAGGUAACCUGCCUGGUAGCGGGGGAUAACUAUUGGAAACGAUAGCUAAUACCGCAUAAUAUUAAUUAUUGCAUGAUAAUUGAUUGAAAGAUGCAACUGCAUCACUACCAGAUGGACCUGCGUUGUAUUAGCUAGUAGGUGAGGUAACGGCUCACCUAGGCGACGAUACAUAGCCGACCUGAGAGGGUGAUCGGCCAACCUGGGACUGGGACACGGCCCAGACUCCUACGGGAGGCAGCAGUAGGGAAUCUUCGGCAAUGGCCGAAAGUCUGACCGAGCAACGCCGCGUGAGUGAAGAAGGUUUUCGGAUCGUAAAGCUCUGUUGUAAGAGAAGAACGGGUGUGAGAGUGGAAAGUUCACACUGUGACGGUAUCUUACCAGAAAGGGACGGCUAACUACGUG